This 460-nucleotide ribosomal RNA is filed under the name uncultured bacterium. Its description in RNAcentral is "partial 16S ribosomal RNA". It matches the Rfam family "Bacterial small subunit ribosomal RNA", at positions 338 to 795 of the family's 1533-position model. The record is from RNAcentral.
CCUACGGGAGGCUGCAGUGAGGAAUAUUGGUCAAUGGCCGGAAGGCUGAACCAGCCAUGCCGCGUGAAGGUCAGUGCCCUAUGGGCGUUAAACUUCUUUUGUGCGGGAGCAAUAAUGGUCACGUGUGGCCAGACGAGAGUACCGUACGAAUAAGCAUCGGCUAACUCCGUGUCAGCAGCCGCGGUAAUACGGGGGAUGCAAGCGUUAUCCGGAUUUAUUGGGUUUAAAGGGUGCGUAGGCUGUGAGGUAAGUCAGCGGUGAAAUGCCCCCGCUCAACGGGGUGAAGUGCCAUUGAUACUGCCUGGCUGGAAUGCGGAUGCCGUGGGAGGAAUGUGUGGUGUAGCGGUGAAAUGCAUAGAUAUCACACAGAACACCGAUUGCGAAGGCAUCUCACGAAGCCGCGAUUGACGCUGAUGCACGAAAGCGUGGGUAUCAAACAGGAUUAGAUACCCGAGUAGUC